RNAcentral lists this ribosomal RNA (273 nucleotides) under uncultured bacterium. Its description in RNAcentral is "partial small subunit ribosomal RNA". It matches the Rfam family "Bacterial small subunit ribosomal RNA", at positions 26 to 285 of the family's 1533-position model. The record is from RNAcentral.
AGAAUCAACGCUGGCGGCGUGCCUAACACAUGCAAGUCGAACGCGAAAAGGGCUUCGGCUCUUAGUAGAGUGGCGAACGGGUGAGUAACACGUGGGUGACCUACCUUCGAAUGGGGGGAUAACGUCCCGAAAGGGACGCUAAUACCGCAUAACAUCCUGCUUUUGAACAGGUGGAGAUCAAAGCCGGGGAUCGCAAGACCUGGCGUUUGAAGAGGGGCCCGCGUCUGAUUAGCUAGUUGGUGAGGUAACGGCCCACCAAGGCUACGAUCAGUA